RNAcentral lists this ribosomal RNA (481 nucleotides) under uncultured soil bacterium. RNAcentral describes it as "bacterial SSU rRNA". It matches the Rfam family "Bacterial small subunit ribosomal RNA", at positions 26 to 498 of the family's 1533-position model. The record is from RNAcentral.
AGAUUGAACGCUGGCGGCAGGCCUAACACAUGCAAGUCGAGCGGCAGCACGGGUACUUGUACCUGGUGGCGAGCGGCGGACGGGUGAGUAAUGCCUAGGAAUCUGCCUGAUAGUGGGGGAUAACGUUCGGAAACGAACGCUAAUACCGCAUACGUCCUACGGGAGAAAGUGGGGGAUCUUCGGACCUCACGCUAUCAGAUGAGCCUAGGUCGGAUUAGCUAGUUGGUAGGGUAAAGGCCUACCAAGGCUACGAUCCGUAACUGGUCUGAGAGGAUGAUCAGUCACACUGGAACUGAGACACGGUCCAGACUCCUACGGGAGGCAGCAGGUGGGGAAUAGUUGGAACAAGUGGGGACGAAAGCCGUUGAUCCAGCCAUGCCGCGUGUGUGAAGUAGGUCUUCGGAUUGUAAAGCUAACUUUAAGGUUAGGGAGGUAAGGCUAAUUAAACCUAGUUACGUUGGUGUCUUAGGACGUUACCGAC